Molecule: small RNA, 858 nt
Filed under: Mytilus galloprovincialis (Mediterranean mussel)
Lineage: Eukaryota; Metazoa; Mollusca; Bivalvia; Mytilida; Mytilidae
Source: RNAcentral
AUGCUUCUACAUAAGGAUGCGUCAUACAAAACAUACAGAGCCUUCUUUUCAAACAUUUCUGCCACACUUGAACUACCCAUUAAUGAUGUUGAACUUCGUCUCCACGAAAAUAUAGAGUUUGGCAGUGAUGACGAAAAAGCUAUGACCAAGGCGAUAGAAAAUGCAUUUCCAACUGCCAAACGAAGAUUGUGCACAAAACAUUUAAAGGACAAUGUACAACAUUACCUUCAAGAUCGUGUUGGUGUUAGCACCCAAGAAAGAAAAACCAUCAUCAACACAAUUUUUGGAGAUCAAGGAAUUGCAAGCGCAGACGACACAUUGCAAUUUGCAAGGGCAGAUUCGGAGCUCAAGGACUUGUGUGCAAAUCAUCCUCAGUUCCUGAAAUAUUACGAACAAAGUUUUAAGCCACGAGUUGAAGAAUUCGUUAAUGAACCCAAUAGACGUUUAGGCACUAAGCAAAUGUGGACGAACAACAAUGCAGAAUCCAUGAACCGGGUGAUGAAAGUGGCAGUAAACUGGAAGCCCCAACAUGCACCAGAUUUGGUUGAUAAACUAUUUGACAUGGUGGACUUCCAGUUCAUUAAUCUACGGUCAGCCCUUCAUCAUUCUGGGGACUACAUGCUGGUCAACUCAUACAAACAGUACACUAUAGCAGAUGCCAUCUGGAAAACAAAAUCAGACGAGGAAAAACGAAAGCUCUUUAAUAAUUUCCUGCAGGACAGCAAAAAAAGAAAACACGAAAAUAUCAUAACUUCAUCCGAUGGACUAUACUCUGUUGUGAACAAGGCUAAGUCAAUAGCCAAGAAACCUAUGCAGAGAAAGAGACCAAGAACAGAAAGAGCCGAAAAAAGACAGUAA